UGCGGGGUGGAGCAGUCUGGUAGCUCGUCGGGCUCAUAACCCGAAGGUCGUAGGUUCAAAUCCUACCCCCGCGACCA
This 77-nucleotide transfer RNA is filed under the name Coriobacteriales bacterium. RNAcentral's name for it is "tRNA-Met". It matches the Rfam family "tRNA". From Rfam's summary of the family: Transfer RNA (tRNA) molecules are approximately 80 nucleotides in length. Their secondary structure includes four short double-helical elements and three loops (D, anti-codon, and T loops). Further hydrogen bonds mediate the characteristic L-shaped molecular structure. tRNAs have two regions of fundamental functional importance: the anti-codon, which is responsible for specific mRNA codon recognition, and the 3' end, to which the tRNAs corresponding amino acid is attached (by aminoacyl-tRNA synthetases). tRNAs cope with the degeneracy of the genetic code in two manners: having more than one tRNA (with a specific anti-codon) for a particular amino acid; and 'wobble' base-pairing, i.e. permitting non-standard base-pairing at the 3rd anti-codon position. The record is from RNAcentral. Lineage: Bacteria; Bacillati; Actinomycetota; Coriobacteriia; Coriobacteriales. RNAcentral also lists the same sequence under 1 other name.